GGGACGUUGGUGAAACGGCUAUCACCGCACGCUCUUAACGUGUCAGUUCUGGGUUCGAAUCCCAGGCGUCCCAC
RNAcentral lists this transfer RNA (74 nucleotides) under Mycobacterium phage Bongo. RNAcentral describes it as "tRNA-Lys". It matches the Rfam family "tRNA". From Rfam's summary of the family: Transfer RNA (tRNA) molecules are approximately 80 nucleotides in length. Their secondary structure includes four short double-helical elements and three loops (D, anti-codon, and T loops). Lineage: Duplodnaviria; Heunggongvirae; Uroviricota; Caudoviricetes; Vilmaviridae. RNAcentral also lists the same sequence under 14 other names. The record is from RNAcentral.